Molecule: long non-coding RNA, 319 nt
Organism: Mya arenaria
Lineage: Eukaryota; Metazoa; Mollusca; Bivalvia; Myida; Myidae
Exons: 4
Source: RefSeq, a predicted model, not a curated record
AAGAUAGAAAUGGAGAGAAGGGCAAUAGCAGCUUGCACAUGUCAAGGAUCUGCAGCGCAUGAAACCCCUUAAACUGAAGAUGAUGUUCCUGAAGCCUAGAGAUGUCAGCACUCGCAGUCAGCCGCUUUAUCAUCCAUUGCUCCAUUAACCUCAUCCACCUGGUCAACACAAUUCAAACAUACCAGUUAAAACAGAUAUGGGUGCAAGUCAUGACACUUUUACAGAUUAAAGAUGUCCGAGAUUCACGAUGAAUGCUGUUUGAAGAAGAAUGAACAGAAUCACAUUUUAAUUUAAUCUCACUGCCAAUGUGGACUUAAAG